AGUUGAAAUGAAGGGUAGUUGUGUAAUGAAUACAUUCGUGUAUUUUGUUAUUCWACUACCCUCCUUCUAAAUUCGAUAUAUGAGUAUUAAUUUACUUGUAUAUGGUUUUAGACGUUUACUGUGAGAAAAUUAGAGUGUUCAAAGCAGGCAUUUGCUUGAAUAUAUUAGCAUGGAAUAAUCAUGUAUGAUUUUCAUGAUGUAUUUGAUUGGUUUGGUUCAUGAGAAUAAGAUUAAAAGGGACAGUUGGGGGUAUUCAUAUUCAAUAGUCAGAGGUGAAAUUCUCGGAUUUAUGGAAGAUGAACAAGUGCGAAA
This 312-nucleotide ribosomal RNA is filed under the name Blastocystis sp. NV-2012. RNAcentral describes it as "bacterial SSU rRNA". The stretch from base 113 to 312 matches the Rfam family "Eukaryotic small subunit ribosomal RNA", at positions 760 to 961 of the family's 1831-position model. Lineage: Eukaryota; Bigyra; Opalinata; Blastocystidae. The record is from RNAcentral.